GGAGGUUAGUGCAAUGGCAUAAGCCAGCUUGACUGCGAGCGUGACGGCGCGAGCAGGUGCGAAAGCAGGUCAUAGUGAUCCGGUGGUUCUGAAUGGAAGGGCCAUCGCUCAACGGAUAAAAGGUACUCCGGGGAUAACAGGCUGAUACCGCCCAAGAGUUCAUAUCGACGGCGGUGUUUGGCACCUCGAUGUCGGCUCAUCACAUCCUGGGGCUGAAGUAGGUCCCAAGGGUAUGGCUGUUCGCCAUUUAAAGUGGUACGCGAGCUGGGUUUAGAACGUCGUGAGACAGUUCGGUCCCUAUCUGCCGUGGGCGCUGGAGAACUGAGGGGGGCUGCUCCUAGUACGAGAGGACCGGAGUGGACGCAUCACUGGUGUUCGGGUUGUCAUGCCAAUGGCACUGCCCGGUAGCUAAAUGCGGAAGAGAUAAGUGCUGAAAGCAUCUAAGCACGAAACUUGCCCCGAG
Molecule: ribosomal RNA, 463 nt
Filed under: Salmonella enterica
Lineage: Bacteria; Pseudomonadati; Pseudomonadota; Gammaproteobacteria; Enterobacterales; Enterobacteriaceae
Description: partial 23S ribosomal RNA
Rfam family: Bacterial large subunit ribosomal RNA
Source: RNAcentral